Molecule: ribosomal RNA, 400 nt
Filed under: Klebsiella pneumoniae subsp. pneumoniae
Lineage: Bacteria; Pseudomonadati; Pseudomonadota; Gammaproteobacteria; Enterobacterales; Enterobacteriaceae
Description: bacterial LSU rRNA
Rfam family: Bacterial large subunit ribosomal RNA
Source: RNAcentral
CAUCCUGGGGCUGAAGUAGGUCCCAAGGGUAUGGCUGUUCGCCAUUUAAAGUGGUACGCGAGCUGGGUUUAGAACGUCGUGAGACAGUUCGGUCCCUAUCUGCCGUGGGCGCUGGAGAAUUGAGGGGGGCUGCUCCUAGUACGAGAGGACCGGAGUGGACGCAUCACUGGUGUUCGGGUUGUCAUGCCAAUGGCACUGCCCGGUAGCUAAAUGCGGAAGAGAUAAGUGCUGAAAGCAUCUAAGCACGAAACUUGCCCCGAGAUGAGUUCUCCCUGAGACUAUAAGUCUCCUGAAGGAACGUUGAAGACGACGACGUUGAUAGGCCGGGUGUGUAAGCGCAGCGAUGCGUUGAGCUAACCGGUACUAAUGAACCGUGAGGCUUAACCUUACAACGCCGAAG